RNAcentral lists this transfer RNA (98 nucleotides) under Burkholderia contaminans. RNAcentral's name for it is "tRNA-Ser". Lineage: Bacteria; Pseudomonadati; Pseudomonadota; Betaproteobacteria; Burkholderiales; Burkholderiaceae. The record is from RNAcentral.
CGUGAGCUUCGGGUCCGGGUGGGCAACCACGUGGCCGUUGCUGUCGAUCAACAUCCCGAAGCUCGCGGGCGUCGGGUGGAUCGUCUUCACGUUCGCGA